AACGAACGCUGGCGGCAUGCCUAACACAUGCAAGUCGAACGAGACCUUCGGGUCUAGUGGCGCACGGGUGCGUACCGCGUGGGAACCUGCCCUUGGGUUCGGAAUACCUCCCCGAAAGGGGUGCUAAUACCGGAUAAUGUCUUCGGACCAAAGAUUUAUCGCCUUUGGAUGGGCCCGCGUUGGAUUAGCUAGUUGGUAGGGUAAAAGCCUACCAAGGCGACGAUCCAUAGCUGGUCGGAGAGGAUGAGCAGCCACACUGGGACUGAGACACGGCCCAGACUCCUACGGGAGGCAGCAGUGGGGAAUAUUGGACAAUGGGCGAAAGCCUGAUACAGCAAUGCCGCGUGAGUGAUGAAGGCCUUAGGGUUGUAAAGCUCUUUUACCCGGGAUGAUAAUGACAGUACCGGGAGAAUAAGCGCCGGCUAACUCCGUG
This 433-nucleotide ribosomal RNA is filed under the name uncultured bacterium. RNAcentral's name for it is "partial 16S ribosomal RNA". It matches the Rfam family "Bacterial small subunit ribosomal RNA", at positions 29 to 507 of the family's 1533-position model. The record is from RNAcentral.